This 253-nucleotide ribosomal RNA is filed under the name uncultured bacterium. Its description in RNAcentral is "partial 16S ribosomal RNA". It matches the Rfam family "Bacterial small subunit ribosomal RNA", at positions 524 to 776 of the family's 1533-position model. The record is from RNAcentral.
UACGUAGGGGGCAAGCGUUGUCCGGAGUUACUGGGCGUAAAGCGCACGCAGGCGGUCUCUUAAGUUUGGAGUGACAGUUGGUGGCUUAACUGCCAAAGUGCUUCGAAAACUGAGAGACUUGAGGGCUUCAGAGGGACACGGAAUUCCGGGUGGAGUGGUGAAAUGCGUAGAGAUCCGGAGGAACACCAAAGGCGAAGGCAGUGUCCUGGGGAGUACCUGACGCUCAGGUGCGGAAAGCCAGGGAGCGAACGGG